Lotus japonicus is the source of this 308-nucleotide long non-coding RNA. RefSeq lists it as uncharacterized. Lineage: Eukaryota; Viridiplantae; Streptophyta; Magnoliopsida; Fabales; Fabaceae. The transcript has 3 exons. The record is from RefSeq and is a predicted model, not a curated record.
CCACCGUGAACAAGCCUUUGCCCUCCCUCCGUCGAAGCUUCCCAAGCAGUUGCUGGGGGAGAGUGUGAUUGCCCCGCAUGAGGUUGCUGAGCCACAAGUUAAUAGACUCUGCAUGGAGGCUGAAGAAUUCAUCAAUAUGGGAAAGUGGUUGGAGCUAGCUUAAUUGAUCCAUUACUUGAAGUCUGAGACAACUCCUUGUCCAUCAAUUCCACUCACGCAGUUCAUCGCAGGCAUCUCCAAAGUCACAACCUCAUCAUUGUUGGAUCCAACAAAGCGAGCAACAGAACAGUCAGGGGUGAACAAGCUGG